RNAcentral lists this ribosomal RNA (253 nucleotides) under uncultured bacterium. RNAcentral describes it as "partial 16S ribosomal RNA". It matches the Rfam family "Bacterial small subunit ribosomal RNA", at positions 524 to 776 of the family's 1533-position model. The record is from RNAcentral.
UACGUAGGGCGCAAGCGUUGUCCGGAAUUAUUGGGCGUAAAGAGCUCGUAGGCGGUCUGUCGCGUCGGCUGUGAAAACCCGAGGCUCAACCUCGGGCCUGCAGUCGAUACGGGCAGACUAGAGUGCUGUAGGGGAGACUGGAAUUCCUGGUGUAGCGGUGAAAUGCGCAGAUAUCAGGAGGAACACCGGUGGCGAAGGCGGGUCUCUGGACAGUUCCUGACGCUGAGGCACGAAGGUCAGGGGAGCAAACGGG